This 255-nucleotide ribosomal RNA is filed under the name uncultured bacterium. RNAcentral's name for it is "partial 16S ribosomal RNA". It matches the Rfam family "Bacterial small subunit ribosomal RNA", at positions 524 to 776 of the family's 1533-position model. The record is from RNAcentral.
UACGUAGGGGGCGAGCGUUAUCCGGAAUUACUGGGCGUAAAGCGCACGCAGGCGGUUCGCCAAGUUUUGGAGUGACAGUUGUCGGCUCAACCGACAAAGGACUUCAAAAACUGGUGAACUUGAGGACGAGAGAGGAACAUGGAACUCCAGGUGUAGUAGUAAAAUGCGUAGAUAUCUGGAAGAACACCAAUGGCGAAGGCAAUGUUCUGGCUCGUUUCUGACGCUCAGGUGCGAAAGCCAGGGGAGCCGAACGGG